Molecule: long non-coding RNA, 205 nt
Filed under: Helianthus annuus (common sunflower)
Lineage: Eukaryota; Viridiplantae; Streptophyta; Magnoliopsida; Asterales; Asteraceae
Description: sRNA HanXRQr2_Chr04g0144821
Source: RNAcentral
UGGUUGCUGUUUCGAUCAACUAUUUUGAGGUUAUUUUUUCACUCGAUUCUUUAAAUUUAUGAAGUAGUGAUGGUUUAUUUGUGUCAUCUUCCAAGAAAAAAUACACUCCAAUGGCGGCGUCUUCUUCAACAUCAUUCGUUAAGGAGAGCUAUCAAUAUGAUGUGUUUUUGAGUUUUAGUGGUGAAGACACACGUAAGAACUUUGU